This 137-nucleotide ribosomal RNA is filed under the name uncultured bacterium. Its description in RNAcentral is "partial 16S ribosomal RNA". It matches the Rfam family "Bacterial small subunit ribosomal RNA", at positions 355 to 509 of the family's 1533-position model. The record is from RNAcentral.
UGGGGAAUUUUGCGCAAUGGGGGAAACCCUGACGCAGCAACGCCGCGUGCGGGACGAAGGCCCUCGGGCUGUAAACCGCUUUCAGCAGGGAAGACAUCGACGGUACCUGCAGAAGAAGCUCCGGCUAACUACGUGCC